This 28-nucleotide small RNA is filed under the name Bombyx mori (domestic silkworm). Its description in RNAcentral is "ovarian small RNA-12072". Lineage: Eukaryota; Metazoa; Arthropoda; Insecta; Lepidoptera; Bombycidae. The record is from RNAcentral.
AGCCAUGACGAUAUUUUGCUAUAUCUGC